RNAcentral lists this ribosomal RNA (292 nucleotides) under uncultured bacterium. RNAcentral's name for it is "partial 16S ribosomal RNA". It matches the Rfam family "Bacterial small subunit ribosomal RNA", at positions 505 to 796 of the family's 1533-position model. The record is from RNAcentral.
GUGUCAGCCGCCGCGGUAAUACGAAGGGGGCUAGCGUUGUUCGGAAUUACUGGGCGUAAAGCGCGCGCAGGCGGCUAUCCAAGUCAGUGGUGAAAGCCCGGAGCUCAACUCCGGAACUGCCAUUGAAACUGUUUAGCUUGAGGAUGAGAGAGGUGAGUGGAAUUCCCAGUGUAGAGGUGAAAUUCGUAGAUAUUGGGAAGAACACCGGUGGCGAAGGCGGCUCACUGGCUCAUUACUGACGCUCAGGCGCGAUAGCGUGGGGAUCAAACAGGAUUAGAUACCCCCGUAGUCC